RNAcentral lists this ribosomal RNA (252 nucleotides) under uncultured bacterium. RNAcentral describes it as "partial 16S ribosomal RNA". It matches the Rfam family "Bacterial small subunit ribosomal RNA", at positions 524 to 776 of the family's 1533-position model. The record is from RNAcentral.
UACGGAGGGGGCUAGCGUUGUUCGGAAUUACUGGGCGUAAAGCGCACGUAGGCGGCUUUGUAGUUAGAGGUGAAAGCCCGGGGCUCAACUCCGGAAUUGCCUUUAAGACUGCAUCGCUAGAAUUGUGGAGAGGUAAGUGGAAUUCCGAGUGUAGAGGUGAAAUUCGUAGAUAUUCGGAAGAACACCAGUGGCGAAGGCGACUUACUGGACAUGUAUUGACGCUGAGGUGCGAAAGCGUGGGGAGCAAACAGG